RNAcentral lists this unclassified non-coding RNA (1785 nucleotides) under Hevea brasiliensis (rubber tree). Lineage: Eukaryota; Viridiplantae; Streptophyta; Magnoliopsida; Malpighiales; Euphorbiaceae. The record is from RNAcentral.
AUUCCUUAAUUUAUAUAACUGAAUUAUUACUACCCUUAUUUCCAAGUUCAAAUUCGAAAACAAUAUUUCGUAUUCAUAGUAAAUGCAAGGAAAAGUAAAGUAAAUAUUUUAAAUUGUUCUUGACAAACAAAGUUCCUGACCAAGAUAGAUAGACUUAGAAAAUAAUUUCUGUGGAAAGUCUCAUUAAUAAAAAAAUUAAAAUUAAGAUGAGGACAUAUGAUUCAAAGUAAUUAAGGUUUAACAUAAACUAUGACCUUAACUAGAAUCGGGACUUGGUAAUGGAGAGACCUUAAUGCAUGGCAUGUAUGAUCAAGGUUCUAAGUAAGGGAUGUAUUUAUUUAUCACUACUUAGGUAGUCACAACAUAUUAUGGUAGGUAUCAAUAAUGAUUUAUGAGAACCAAGAGUAGAAAGGGAAUUUCACUCUAUGUAUGGAAGAGUUCCAAUGAUAUUAAGGAGUUAAUAUCAUUUUCAUUCCCAAUUAAUUAUGAACCUAAGAAGUCAUACACAAAUAAGAAAUAAAGUAAUCAAGAUUUAAUUAAUUUAAUUGAUUGAUUAUAUAGUUUAAUUAACUAAUUAAAUUGAAGAAUUUAGUAUGCAAUAAGACUGCAAAAUCCCUAACAUGACUUGAAACUAGAUUUAGAGAAUUGGGUAACAUGGAGGAUAAAUAUGGCUAACUAAAAAUUGCAUAAACUGUAGCAUGGGGCAUGUUGCAGUCCAGUGCAAGUGUUGCAUAGGGCAUGCAAAAGUUGCAUGGGGAAUGCAAUGGUAACAUGGGCCAUGUUGUCCUUAGGCAAAAGUUAUAUGGGGCAUGCCAUACCUUUUAUUUUGAAAGAAGGAAGAUUGUUUGUGGGUUUUAAUGUCUCUUAACAUGAGAUGAUGAGUGAUAUCAUGAGUUGGAAACAAAAUAUGACCGGUUUGAUAUGUGAAACUUUUUUCUCCAAGUGCAGAAUAUUCUGAACUCAUUCACCAUGUUGAGGGAUAUGAAAUUUCUAAAAGUUAGAGAUUUCUCCUCACUUUAAUUGUAUGGGAAUGCCUAAAGUAUAAAAUAUCAUAAUCCACAUGCAAAAGAAAACACUUUAGUGAUUUCUAUCUUCUUCUUCUUCUUCCUUUUUCUCAACCUUCAUUGUUAAAAAACCUUGAGCUUUCUUCUAAGUCUAAUUCAAGAGAUAUUACUCUUGAAUUAAAAAUUGAAGGAAUCAUUUCUUCAAUUAUCCUUGUAAAACAAAGAGGACCAAAACAGUUUUUAUGCUUACUUGGUCUACACAAGAGAAGGCAUUUUGUGGGGAUUGCAGUUCAAGUGAUAGAUCAUCUUGGUUGCUGAGCUUUUGUGCAUGGAUUAGAGGGCUUAUGUUUAGAAACCUAGCUACCCGAAUUAAGGUGGAAAGUGAAAUUUUGUGCCUGUUUGGUAAAGUCCCUAAAUCUUAUUUUAGGCACUUGGUUUUAAUUUUCCUAAAUUGCAAAAUCGGCUAGAUUUCUAAUUGUGGUUACAAGAGUUGUAAGCUUCAUGUUUUGAACAAAGUAGUAUGAAAUAUGGGUUUUGCAUGAGAUGCAUAUAACAUAUGUAAAAUUAAAAAUUUUGAAAUUUCCAUUGCGUAACUCGUGCCUUCAAUUGGUAUUAGAGCCACCCCAUAUUGCAUUUAAGAACUUUAAUUUGCUUGGUUAUUAGUUAAAAUUAUAUGAAAUUUUGUUAGUCAAGUGUUGAGAAAUGAAAUUCCAUUAAAUUUUUUAAGAAAGUGGUUUUUGUUGUGGUUAAAAUGCAAGUGUUGCGAAUUUUUUUUUUUUUG